UGUACCGAAACUUCCUGUUUCCAUCACAGCUGUUGAGACUUUCCUGGCAAAACUGGAUGGAAACGUGGUUGACUGAUUUGAAAUCCGAGUGAACUAGAUGGGGUGACAUGGACUCCGGUGACUACGUCCGCAUGCGGUAUGAGAAGAGGCUGAGGGGGGGCUGGAGGACAGGUCUGGAGGACAAGAUCAGCCAAUGGGGCAACUUUGAGAAGUUCUAAGGGCGUUGGUCGCCGGGUGAUGGAGAAGCAGGGCUGGAAGGAGGGAAAGGGCCUGGGUCAGGAUUCCAGAAGCCCUGGAGAAUGAAGGACAGCAUCCCAAAUGCAAGAGGGGCUUUGGGUACCAUGGAGAGAAGCUGAGCUCCUACUUGUGAAAAGGCCAAACCAGACUUGUGCAUAUCCACGGUGUAUGAUAAACCCAAAGACAUUGACCAAGGAGAUCCCUUAUUGAGACGCCAUCACAAAACGAGCAUGAAGUACAGAGGCUGGCAGCCAGGUAGCAGCAUUGGGCCAAAAAGAUGACAACACUGUAUUUACAUGUUGAUACAAUUUUUCUUAUUGCUAUUAUUACCUUUUUUCCCAUUAGAAUUCAUGCUUUGUUUAUAUUAAAGCAUUUAUCAUACAUGGAAUUUGUUUAAAUUAUUUUCUUGUCUCCUAAAUGAAUUACACAUUUGUAAAUUUUACCAUAGUAUGAUUGAACCAGAAGUAAUUAUUUUAGCCAGUAGUAGUUGGCUAGACCUGCCUUCCGCCUGCAAGAAUAAGGCCGUGACC
Salvelinus sp. IW2-2015 is the source of this 767-nucleotide long non-coding RNA. RefSeq lists it as uncharacterized. Lineage: Eukaryota; Metazoa; Chordata; Actinopteri; Salmoniformes; Salmonidae. The record is from RefSeq and is a predicted model, not a curated record.